Molecule: ribosomal RNA, 525 nt
Filed under: Bacteroides sp. HGA0051
Lineage: Bacteria; Pseudomonadati; Bacteroidota; Bacteroidia; Bacteroidales; Bacteroidaceae
Description: bacterial SSU rRNA
Rfam family: Bacterial small subunit ribosomal RNA
Source: RNAcentral
UGCAGUCGAGGGGCAGCAUGAACUUAGCUUGCUAAGUUUGAUGGCGACCGGCGCACGGGUGAGUAACACGUAUCCAACCUGCCGAUGACUCGGGGAUAGCCUUUCGAAAGAAAGAUUAAUACCCGAUGGCAUAGUUCUUCCGCAUGGUAGAACUAUUAAAGAAUUUCGGUCAUCGAUGGGGAUGCGUUCCAUUAGGUUGUUGGCGGGGUAACGGCCCACCAAGCCUUCGAUGGAUAGGGGUUCUGAGAGGAAGGUCCCCCACAUUGGAACUGAGACACGGUCCAAACUCCUACGGGAGGCAGCAGUGAGGAAUAUUGGUCAAUGGACGAGAGUCUGAACCAGCCAAGUAGCGUGAAGGAUGACUGCCCUAUGGGUUGUAAACUUCUUUUAUACGGGAAUAAAGUGAGGCACGUGUGCCUUUUUGUAUGUACCGUAUGAAUAAGGAUCGGCUAACUCCGUGCCAGCAGCCGCGGUAAUACGGAGGAUCCGAGCGUUAUCCGGAUUUAUUGGGUUUAAAGGGAGCGU